UGCUGGAUAGCUCACUUGGUUAAGGCACUGUGUUGCAGUGCAGAGGUGACUAUCACGUCGCGGGUUCGAUCCCCGCCUUGUAC
Gymnothorax javanicus (giant moray) is the source of this 83-nucleotide non-coding RNA. The record is from the annotation of a GenBank genome assembly. NCBI's taxonomy places the organism in Eukaryota, Metazoa, Chordata, Actinopteri, Anguilliformes, Muraenidae.